RNAcentral lists this ribosomal RNA (794 nucleotides) under Nesticella brevipes. RNAcentral describes it as "SSU rRNA". It matches the Rfam family "Eukaryotic small subunit ribosomal RNA", at positions 989 to 1798 of the family's 1831-position model. Lineage: Eukaryota; Metazoa; Arthropoda; Arachnida; Araneae; Nesticidae. The record is from RNAcentral.
GUUAGAGGAUCGAAGGCGAUCAGAUACCGCCCUAGUUUUACACGGUAAACUAUACCAGCCAGCGAUCCGGCUGUGUUCUUUAACUGACACGCCGGGAAGCUUCCGGGAAACCAAAGCUUUUGGGUUCCGGGGGAAGUAUGGUUGCAAGACUUAAACUUAAAGGAAUUGACGGAAGGGCACCACAAGCCAUGGAGCAUGCGGUUCAAUUUGACUCAACACGGGUAAUCUUACCCAGCCCGGACACAGGAAGGAUUGACAGAUUAAGAGCUCUUUCUUGAUUCUGUGAGUGGUGGUGCAUGGCCGUUCUUAGUUGGUGGAGUGAUUUGUCUGCUUUAUUGCGAUAACGAACGAGACUCUAGCCUAGUAAGUAGACGUUCCGAUUUAAUAGUCGGACAUUCUUCUUAGAGGGACAGGCGGCGACUAGCCGCACGAGACAGAGCAAUAACAGGUCUGUGAUGCCCUCAGAUGUCCGGGGCCACACGCGCGCUACAUUGAAGGAAUCAGCGAGUGCUUUCCCGGGCCGACAGGACCGGGUAACCCGUUGAACCCCCUUCGUGCUGGGGAUAGGGGCUUGCAAUUGUUCCCCUUAAACUAGGAAUGCCUAGUAAGCGCAUGUCAUCAGCUUGUGUUGAUUAGGUCCCUGCCCUUUGUACACACCGCCCGUCGCUACAAGCGAUGAACGGUUUAGUGAGGUCUUCGGACUGGCGCGCGCGCUGACCCGGCGUUGGGACCAGCCGACGUGCCGGAAAGAUGACCAAACUUGAUCGUUUAGAGCAUGUAAAAGUCGUAACAAG